AGCAGCCGCGGUAAUUCCAGCUCCAAUAGCGUAUAUUAAAGUUGUUGCAGUUAAAAAGCUCGUAGUUGAAUUUCGGGGUUAGUAGGUUGGUCAUGCCUCUGGUAUGUACUGGUCUCACUGAUUCCUCCUUCCUGAUGAGCCGUAAUGCCAUUAAUUUGGUGUUGCGGGGAAUUUGGACUGUUACUUUGAAAAAAUUAGAGUGUUUAAAGCAAGCUAACGCUUGAAUACAUUAGCAUGGAAUAAUGAAAUAGGACGUUCGAUCCUAUUUUGUUGGUUUCUAGGAUUGACGUAAUGAUUAAUAGGGAUAGUUGGGGGCAUUAGUAUUCAAUUGUCAGAGGUGAAAUUCUUGGAUUUAUUGAAGACUAACUACUGCGAAAGCAUUUGCCAAGGAUGUUUUCAUUAAUCAAGAACGAAAGUUAGGGGAUCGAAGACGAUCAGAUACCGUCGUAGUCUUAACCAUAAACUAUGCCGACUAGGGAUCGGAUGAUGUAAUUUUUAAUGACUCAUUCGGCGCCUUAC
RNAcentral lists this ribosomal RNA (519 nucleotides) under uncultured Glomus. RNAcentral describes it as "SSU rRNA". It matches the Rfam family "Eukaryotic small subunit ribosomal RNA", at positions 569 to 1091 of the family's 1831-position model. The record is from RNAcentral. Lineage: Eukaryota; Fungi; Glomeromycota; Glomeromycetes; Glomerales; Glomeraceae.